GGGAGGCCUGGCUCUGGUGUGGGCUGCGGGGAGAAGGCGCGGGAAGGAAGGAAGGAGGCGAAGCGGUGCGGGAGGGAGGCGGCCGUUGCCAUGGAAGGAGCUGCAAGCCUCCCUGCAGACCGCGAGCGGAGCCCCCGCACCCCCGGGGCUGGCCCCUGGCCUCCCGCCCCAGCCCGGCCGGCGGCCCCUCCCUGCUCCGCUGUCCGCCUUGGGUACAGAAGCGGCGAGUGGCCCCUUUCCAGGAGGCCUGUUUACCAGCACGACAACGGCAAAUUAGUGCGCUUAAGAGGCAUUCGGCGUUUAUCCCGGCAAACAUGCGCAGCGUGAAGGGGGCCUGCGAGGCCUGCUCCCCGGAAUCUGCUGAAAUGGGGUCUGCUGUGCAUCUUAAUCGACUUACUUCCACCCAUCACAUUAAACGCAUUUAAUCUA
Molecule: long non-coding RNA, 429 nt
Filed under: Homo sapiens (human)
Lineage: Eukaryota; Metazoa; Chordata; Mammalia; Primates; Hominidae
Description: non-protein coding LINC01574:6
Source: RNAcentral